CGAGGGUGGAGGCGGUAGCGGCGUGCCACAGCAGCGCCGCUAAAUGGAAGCUGCCCGUCUUCGAGGUGCUCGGGUUGACGCCCGGCAGCGUCUUCUGCCACUUCCUUCCUCGCGACCACGUCGUCUGGACUGCCAUCAAGAAACAAGAACAUUCUGCUCAGCCAGACGCCGACGAAAAUGAGAUAAUUGGGCCUGCAAACUUCCAAUUCCAGCUGCCUUCUUGGAGACAAUAGCAGUCAAUCUGGAGACGUACUCAUCUAGUUGAUUACCAGAUUGCUCCGCUUCAUCUAACAGGUUCAUCUCCUGAUAAGCCAAGAGAAUGAAGUAACUUUUUUUACAUUUGUAACCUGACUCGAUUUAUAGAUCUAGAAACAUGUACCUCUGUAACAAUAUUGAUUGUAUCCUCCACUUUUCUCCGAUGGGCCACAAUAAGAUCCUCCUCUUCCUGUUAUUGUUA
This is a long non-coding RNA of Musa acuminata AAA Group (dessert banana), 457 nucleotides long. RefSeq lists it as uncharacterized. NCBI's taxonomy places the organism in Eukaryota, Viridiplantae, Streptophyta, Magnoliopsida, Zingiberales, Musaceae. The transcript is spliced from 2 exons. The record is from RefSeq and is a predicted model, not a curated record.